RNAcentral lists this ribosomal RNA (391 nucleotides) under Pseudocalanus sp. RNAcentral describes it as "partial small subunit ribosomal RNA". It matches the Rfam family "Eukaryotic small subunit ribosomal RNA", at positions 582 to 975 of the family's 1831-position model. Lineage: Eukaryota; Metazoa; Arthropoda; Copepoda; Calanoida; Clausocalanidae. The record is from RNAcentral.
AUUCCAGCUCCAAUAGCGUAUAUUAAAGUUGUUGUGGUUAAAAAGCUCGUAGUUGGAUCUCGGCGGUCUGAGGGCGGUUCGCUUCAGAGCGCUACUGCCCUAUAGACCGUAGUUUUGCCAGAGGUCUCAGGGUGCUCUUAACCGAGUGUCUUGCGAUGCUGGCAGGUUUACUUUGAAAAAAUUAGAGUGCUCAAAGCAGGCUUUUACGCCUGAAUAUUCGUGCAUGGAAUAAUAGAAUAGGAAGUCGUUUCUAUUUUGUUGGUUUUCGGAAAUCGACUUAAUGAUUAACAGGGACAGUUGGGGCCGUUUAUAUUUCGUUGUCAGAGGUGAAAUUCUUGGAUUUACGAAAGAUAAACUUCUGCGAAAGCAUUCGGCAAGGAUGUUUUCAUCA